RNAcentral lists this ribosomal RNA (1020 nucleotides) under Yersinia enterocolitica. RNAcentral's name for it is "partial 23S ribosomal RNA". It matches the Rfam family "Bacterial large subunit ribosomal RNA", at positions 1213 to 2213 of the family's 2925-position model. The record is from RNAcentral. Lineage: Bacteria; Pseudomonadati; Pseudomonadota; Gammaproteobacteria; Enterobacterales; Yersiniaceae.
CUUAGGCGUUGUUGGGUAGGGGAGCGUUCUGUAAGCCGUUGAAGGUGACCUGUGAGGGUUGCUGGAGGUAUCAGAAGUGCGAAUGCUGACAUAAGUAACGAUAAUGCGGGUGAAAAACCCGCACGCCGGAAGACCAAGGGUUCCUGUCCAACGUUAAUCGGGGCAGGGUGAGUCGACCCCUAAGGCGAGGCUGAAAAGCGUAGUCGAUGGGAAACAGGUUAAUAUUCCUGUACUUGGUGUUACUGCGAAGGGGGGACGGAGAAGGCUAGGCUAGCCGGGCGACGGUUGUCCCGGUUUAAGCAUGUAGGCGGAGUGACUUGGUAAAUCCGGUUGCUUAUCAACGCUGAGGUGUGAUGACGAGCCACUACGGUGGUGAAGUAGUUGAUGCCAAGCUUCCAGGAAAAGCCUCUAAGCAUCAGGUAACAUUAAAUCGUACCCCAAACCGACACAGGUGGUCAGGUAGAGAAUACUCAGGCGCUUGAGAGAACUCGGGUGAAGGAACUAGGCAAAAUGGUGCCGUAACUUCGGGAGAAGGCACGCUGGCAUUAGGUAAAGAGACUUGCUCUCGGCGCUGAAGCCAGUCGCAGAUACCAGCUGGCUGCAACUGUUUAAUAAAAACACAGCACUGUGCAAACACGAAAGUGGACGUAUACGGUGUGACGCCUGCCCGGUGCUGGAAGGUUAAUUGAUGGGGUCAGCCGCAAGGCGAAGCUCUUGAUCGAAGCCCCAGUAAACGGCGGCCGUAACUAUAACGGUCCUAAGGUAGCGAAAUUCCUUGUCGGGUAAGUUCCGACCUGCACGAAUGGCGUAAUGAUGGCCAGGCUGUCUCCACCCGAGACUCAGUGAAAUUGAACUCGCUGUGAAGAUGCAGUGUACCCGCGGCAAGACGGAAAGACCCCGUGAACCUUUACUAUAGCUUGACACUGAACAUUGAGCCUUGAUGUGUAGGAUAGGUGGGAGGCAUUGAAGUGUGGACGCCAGUCUGCAUGGAGCCAACCUUGAAAUACCACCCUUUAAUGU